Non-coding RNA from Flavobacterium sp. LM5, 78 nucleotides. The record is from Rfam. Lineage: Bacteria; Pseudomonadati; Bacteroidota; Flavobacteriia; Flavobacteriales; Flavobacteriaceae.
CCUUAACCCCGAUAGCAGCGAAAAUCCUUUUGUGCUGGGGUUCAGCACAAAAGAUUAUAGCGGAUAGCGGGACUUUGC